This 301-nucleotide ribosomal RNA is filed under the name uncultured bacterium. RNAcentral describes it as "partial 16S ribosomal RNA". It matches the Rfam family "Bacterial small subunit ribosomal RNA", at positions 509 to 807 of the family's 1533-position model. The record is from RNAcentral.
CAGUCGCCGCGGUAAUACGAAGGGUGCAAGCGUUACUCGGAAUUACUGGGCGUAAAGCGUGCGUAGGUGGUGGUUUAAGUCCGUUGUGAAAGCCCUGGGCUCAACCUGGGAAUUGCAGUGGAUACUGGGUCGCUAGAGUGUGGUAGAGGAUAGUGGAAUUUCCGGUGUAGCAGUGAAAUGCGUAGAGAUCGGAAGGAACAUCUGUGGCGAAGGCGACUAUCUGGGCCAACACUGACACUGAGGCACGAAAGCGUGGGGAGCAAACAGGAUUAGAUACCCCGGUAGUCCCUGUCUCUUAUAC